RNAcentral lists this transfer RNA (72 nucleotides) under Camelus bactrianus (Bactrian camel). It matches the Rfam family "tRNA". From Rfam's summary of the family: Transfer RNA (tRNA) molecules are approximately 80 nucleotides in length. Their secondary structure includes four short double-helical elements and three loops (D, anti-codon, and T loops). RNAcentral also lists the same sequence under 2 other names. Lineage: Eukaryota; Metazoa; Chordata; Mammalia; Artiodactyla; Camelidae. The record is from Rfam by way of RNAcentral.
GAGGGCAUAGCUCAGUGGUAGAGCACAUACUUAGCACGCAUAAGGUCUUGGGUUCAACCCCCAGUACCUCCA